GAGGCAGAGGCUGCAGUAAGCUGAGAUCGUGCCACUGUACUCCAGCCUGCGUGGCAGAGCAAGACUCUGUAUCAAAAAAUAAAGAAAGAAAAUAAAAUAUAUUUUCUAAUAUUCAAGUGAGAUUUCUUCUACAUAUUUGUUGUCUCUAUUAUGAUGCAGUAUGUACUACGAAUAUUUUCACGUAAUUAUCAAGUAUCAGCUUAAGAAAAUUCAUGUGAUCUGGUUUGUUUGCUUAACAGAGAUUUAACAACAAAUCUAAGAGACUAGCUUUACUAUCAUUAAUAAGAAAUAAGGUAACUGACUUCCCUUUCAAAGAGAUUUAUUCCAUAUUUAAUCACAUACUUCAAAUCUGGGUUCAUUAUAUACUAAUGUCAGUGCUUUGGGAAAGCAAAGAUCUCCCAUAAAAAAGAAAAAUAGGAGCUUUCCACUUUAGGAUAGUAAUGUGAGCACAUAUAUUUAACGCUCUUUCCCUAAGUGCCAAGGAAUUGAUCAGAGAAAUGCAAAUAGUGGGAAAAGUGAAAAAGAAAUCAUUAGCAGUGUUGGAUAACAGGAAAGAAGGCCAUGAAGAGGCCCCAGCGGAGAAAAUUGCCCCUACAAAAUCUGCGCGGAUGGGAUCAAAUUGGGGACCAUAAUAACUAGUCUCUGAUUAGGCAGUUAUGAUGGAGGAAGUUUGCCUGUGGAAUAAGAGAGCAGAAUUUGAGCCUCCUCUCCAAAAUUUAAUAUUUGAACAGAGCUGGGAAUUGAGCUCCCUGGAGUAGUCAGUGGAGAGCAAAUAAAAUGACUUUUACUGGUGCAAUAGUAUUCACUAAUAGGACAACUGGCUGAGGUGGGCAACAUCACAACAGGUUACCAAGGAGAUUAGUCACGUCAGGUGGAAAGGUAGGGACAGGUGCUCAGCUUACUUUGGGCUAUUCAACAACUGUGUCAAAAGACACCUCUUACCAAAGUGGAGGGUUUUCUAUCCUGUGACUGCUCCCCAGAAAUUCUCGUAGUGCUCACUGCAGCCACUUGGGACUCCCAGAUUUAAUAAAAUAAAGGUACAAAAAAAGUAAACUUUUUUUUCCCCUUUUGACAAGAGUUAAAAGUUAGAAAAGGAAACCCCUAUAAUUUCUUGUUGUUCUCAUGUCAACUCCCCUAAACAAAAUGUCAGACUCCGUAAAGUUGAGCAAACAGAAAAUUCGCCAGUCAAAUGAAAGUAUUUGGUAGUUUCAGGUAUGAAAACUAUUGUGAGGAGGUAAAGCAAAUGUCUUUUGAGGAUAAAUAAAAACAGAUUUAUUCCAAGAAACAGUAGCAAAUUUUCAGAAAUCUCUACUUCAUAUUCUCCACGAGAGUCUAGAAAACACGUUGUCUAUAAAAAUGCAACAAUUUAGAAAUUUUUAAAAGAUUGCAUUUAGAUGCAAAACACUGUUCUAAAACUAAAACAUGAGCCACCGCGCCCGGCCCUGUAUCUUUUUUAAGGCAAGAAUCAUAUCUGUUUUUUAAAAACUUUUUAGCAAUUUAUUAUUACUUAUUUAUAAAAAUAUAGAAAAGGAAUUACAGAUUCAAACAUUUCAGAUAACCAAAAAAUUAAGUUCUUUACAAAGUUACCACUGAUAGAGCAUUUUGACUUAUUUCUAGCGUAUUAGCAGUCAGAAUGUGUAAACAUAUUAUACAAAGCUGGAUAUUCUGCAUUGCUGCCUCAUUAUGCAUUUUGAUGACAUUAGUAGAUGUGUAAAUAACAGACACAAAUAAAUUUGAAUGGAAGUUACAUAAAUGCCUUCUGCAAAUGCAUACAAGUUAUGUACUGGUAAUAAUCAAAUUUUGGUUAUGAUAUUUAAAGAUCUUUUUACGCUAUACCUAUUUUCAUGUUUCAUCAUGAAAAUAUAUUGGCAUUUAAAGAAGAAACUUCAAUAGAUUUUUGUUUUUUGCUGCUUGAUUUUUUUAUUCACCUAAAACUGGAAUUAAAUUUUUUUAUAAAAACAUAGAAAGUAGAAUAUAUCUAAAAUUUAAACGUUGCUCUUUUUUGAAAGGUAAUUCUUCUUUACAAGCCUCCUUCUUCCAAGUUACAAUUUGUAAAACUUUGAAUUUUCAGAUAUUGACAUGUCAAGCUUUCAACACUCUAAAAUACACUGAAAGUUUUACGUUUUAUAUUUUUCAUUGAAAAACCUGGCUGCAUAAUGGUAACUAAAAUAUUUAGUGUUAUUAAGAUAUAAUACGUAAAAUGUCUUGGAGUAAAUAUGAUUUUUCCACUGUGUUAUAAUGAAAAAUAGAUUUGGUCUUUGUCCUUUUUAUACCUGGCACAGAGUGUCUAAAUUCUUUGGAAUUUCUUAAGUGUCUGGUGUGUAUUUUGUUAUUUAUAAUGAGCCCCCUUAACAUACCUGAGUUUAUGCUAACGAGUGUAGUCCAGGUAGGCCCUUACAUGGUUUCAAGGGAAGAAUAAGCCACAGAAGUAAUUUGAGGGCUUGAACUUUCAGCCCUAUCCCCCCAAACUCUGGAGAGGGGAAGAGGGCUGAAGAUUGAGUUCAAUUGCCAAUGACAGUGAUUUAAUUAAGCAUGCCUGAUAAAUAAAGCCUUAAAAAAAACCUCUUGAACAAUAAUGUUAGAGGAGCUUCUGGUUGCUCCAAAACAUUGAAGUGCUGAAAGGGUGGUGCUCAUGUUACAGGAAAGGGGUCCCAAUCCAGACCCCAAGAGAGGGUUCUUGGAUCUCAUGCAAGAAAGAAUUCAGGGCGAGUCCAUAGAAUAAAGUGAAAGCAAGUUUAUUAGGAAAGUAAAGGAAUAAAAGAAUGGCUACUCCAUAGACAUAGCAGCCCUGAGGGCUGCUGGUUGCCCAUUUUUGUGGUUAUUUCUUGAUGAUAUGCUAAACAAAGGUGGAUUAUUCAUGCCUCCCCUUUUUAGACCAUAUAGGGUGACUUCCUGAUUACUGUAAAUUUUGCUCCUGAAAAACUGUAAAUUUCAGAGCUACUCUUUUGUUUGCCUUUUCUCAGAAUAACCAGCUCAAAACAUGCCAAAGAAAUAUAUUUUGGAGUAACAGUGUCUGGUGUUCUACAGUCAUAUUUUGGGGCAGUGUGUCUUGAGCCCUAAUGUGAGAUUUAGCCCUUAUAUCUGGGGAAUCUGAUGCUAUCCUAGAGUUAGUGUCAUAAGAGGAUUGAAUUAUAAGCCACCCAGUUGAUAUUAGAAAAUCAGAAAAUUGUUGAAAAAUGGCAGACCCAGAUACUGUUUUUCACAGAGUGAUAUUUAGUUCAGAUAAUAGCAUAAACUGUGGCAUAACAAUGAGAAUCUCUAGAUUUCAACCAUUAUAAUUUCAUUUUAUGGAACUGUUUUUGGUUUUCCCUGUGUAUUAACCUUGGUGUUUGCAAAAUAAAAUGUCAAAAUAAAAUUUACAAAAUAAAAUAUAACAAAAUAAAAUGUAAAUACCAUGAAUAUAUCUCUUACCAUCUUAAAAUUUUAAGCACUAUUAUUAGGAAGGAAAAAAAUUCAUAAAGAGGAAAAGCACACCAGACACAACUUGUGUGUUUCUUCCCUGAUUUAAUGUGAUUCAUUAGAGGAAUGAUACUAAAUAAUUAUUUACAAUACUUCAUUGAAAUUCCAGUUCAAGUGUCUUCUGCUGACAGCCUUGGAUAGAAGCUUUCCGACUGGCAGUUGAAGCAACCAUAAAUGGAGGCAGAACUUUAGAACUGAAAAGAAGUGGUGGAAACCCAAAAAAGGAAUGCCAUUAAUAUUUCUAACUAAAACCAAUUUCACUGGAUGAUAUAUGUAGAGCAGGGCCUGUGACCAAUCCAGUUUUUCAUCUCUGUCUAACCAAUAUGGCUGAAGUUUUGCCCUUGCCCUAGGGCAGCUAUCAUUUGAAGGAAAGUUGCUGCUCUUAAUGCAAAUUCAGUGACUUCAAUUGUCUUCUCUGACAUUACCAAAAAAAGAUGCCCUGGGCUGUUAAAUAUAUAUAUUUUUAAAUUGUCAUACAUUGGGGAAAGUUCAAAUGAUUGGUUCUAAAAACAAUGCACCUGACCUCCAAGGUAUGGAGGCCAGCUAGUUUCACCUGAUGGAGUUCCCCAUUGAAAUGCCUUUGAAAACAGAACACUUGUAGAGUCACAGUUGUACUAAAAAGUAAGGUUGUUAAUAUAUUAAAAAGCAUUUAUUUGAAAUCUUACACAGGGCCAGGCCCUGUUUUAAGUAAACAUAUAGAGGAAAUUCCCUGUCCUUAUGUAAACAUAUAUAGAAAAUUCCCUGUCCUUGCAGAGAUAUUAUUCUAGCUGCCAUGGAGUUGGGAGCAGACAACAAACAAUUAGCCCAGUUUGUUAAUAGAUAAGGAGUGCUGUGGGGUGGGAGGGAUACAAAGAGUUGUCAGACUCUGAAAGGAUUAACUGUGCAGAAAGAUCAGAAGAAGAAACAAUCACAAGCAUGCCUGUGCCUCUGACAGGUAGGAGAUAGGAAACUCCCUGCAUACCCCGAUUUUCCAAUGGAGACCUAUAUUCCAACCAAAAGAGUCACGGUUUUUCCCUGAUGGGGUGAGCAAAAUUAACCAACAGGCUAAGUUGCCCUUAUCCAUUGAGUGGUUGAAAUUCACAGUACGUAAACUAGCCAAGGGUGAGUAGGGGACACUAACCCUUGAUAUUAAAUUGGCAGUAAAUAAGAACAGAAUUAGAAAAAAAAUAGGGAGUUGGUACUCUAAAGAAAUUUUUUUCAUGCAGCAUUUUUAGUAAAAAGUAUAUCUAAACAUAAAUUAAUAAGAGCUCAUACUUGUUUGUCAUGAAAUUAUAAUACUGCUGUGAGGUAGAGAUGAUCAUCAUCUCUAUUUUAGAAAUGUGCUAACUAAGGCAAUGACAAAUUAAGUGAUUUGCCCAAGGUCACACCUCUAAUAGGUUGUGAAGAUGGGAUUUGAACCCAGACAGUCUGAUUUGAGACUCUAAGCUCUCCAAUUUAAUAUACCAAGUUGCUUUCUCAUUGUAAAGGAGCCAGGUAGUGGAGAUAAGUAAAAAUAAAUCCUGCCCUAGGCUUACCAACUAAGUGUCUUUAGACACCACAAACUUGGGGAGGUUCUGUACAUACCUAUUGUGCUUCAGCUUAAGGUAUGAGAGGAGAAUUUUGGUGGUGUCCUAGUGGACAUUAAGUAUUGGACACUGGAAUAUACACUCACCCUGUCAAUUUACAACCUAUAGGCCUGCAUAUAUUUAUUCUCAUUAAAGGAUGGGUAAGUAGGAGAAAAAAACAGUAUGGAGAAUAAAUGAAAGUAUGCUCUCAUGUAAGUAAAGCGUAGGCUUAAAGAUAAUAGAAGAAUCAUAUCUAAAUGGGAAACAAAAUUUUUCUUAAGCAUCUGUAUUGUACUCUUCACAAUUUUAAUAAAAUAUGAGCUGUAUGAAUAAAGUGAAAAUGAACUGGUCUGAUAUGUUGAAUGACAGAAAGAACAUUAGUGAUUAGAACUGACCCUGUAGAAAAUCAAGUCAUUGGAAUUAAAUAAUAUGUGGAUACAACGCAAGGUGUGAACAUCAUGGGUGAAAACAAAAUGAUUGAUUGAGUGGUUAGAAGACAUACUAGAUCUGUCAAUUGUAUUAUUUUAAAAUUAAAAAUAAAGACAUCAACCUUUAUUAAAAUUUACUAUACAGAUUGCACUGGUGGCUUCCCUUUGUUUAUAUAUCACAUGGUCAUGGCUGAUAUUCAGUACAAGUGGUUCACAGACAAGAAAGUAGAAGAGGCUCCAUGGUACACCUUGAGAGGUUGCUUUCUCAGACACUAGUUUAUUUUUUUUACUCUACAUAUAGCAAUGUAUGUAUAUACCUGCAAGAUAUAUCAUAUGUCCAGUUAAAUAAAUUCACAGAUUAUAUUUUCC
Molecule: long non-coding RNA, 5800 nt
Filed under: Homo sapiens (human)
Lineage: Eukaryota; Metazoa; Chordata; Mammalia; Primates; Hominidae
Description: non-protein coding lnc-FANCL-1:1
Source: RNAcentral